Molecule: long non-coding RNA, 1104 nt
Organism: Pangasianodon hypophthalmus (striped catfish)
Lineage: Eukaryota; Metazoa; Chordata; Actinopteri; Siluriformes; Pangasiidae
Exons: 3
Source: RefSeq, a predicted model, not a curated record
UAGUGGCUUAGUGUAAUGUAGGAUGUGAAGUCACGCGAGAUUUCAACCUGCAAGCGAGAACAGAGGUGUGAGGCGCAGUUAUAUUGCAUAAUGGUCCUUCUUCAACACCCACAAUGGCAAUUAGGUUUCUAAUCGAGUUACUGUGAAAUAAACAGCCUAGUAUCCUUCAUAGUUUCAGAGUACAUCACAGUUUUGCUUUAUUUCAUUACUGAGACCACAUGAAUUGACACGUGAUUUCCAGUACCCCAGAUGGGACACCAGUCCAUCGUGGAGCACCAUGCACACACACACACACACACACUUAGGGGUGAGUUAGCAUAGCCAAACUACCCACUGGCAUGUUUUUAGGAGGAGAAAGGAAACUGGAGAACCCUGAUGAAACCCACACUGACAUGGGGAAAUAGACACAGAAACUCCAUCACUCCAAGAUCAGGUUCAAACCAGGCACCCUGGAGCUGUGAGGUGGCAACACGCUCCGCUGUACCCAUAAAUCUUUCAAGGCACUACAUUUUAAGGAAGCAAGUCUCUGUUCCCCAGGAGAGAGAGAGAGAGAGAUGCAGCAGUAGCCCUACUUGUAAAAGAUGACUUGUCCCAUGGGGCAGACUGAACUUUCAUAAUGUGCCUUGUUUACAGAAAAAGAGGGAAAAAGGUGAUCAGUUUCAAGAUAUGUGUAAUAUAAUCACAUGUUAUAAUCAAUAUGCUUUAUGGAGAGCUGAAGGUCUUGUAUUUUAUGUGCCAUGAAUUAAUAAUGUUCCUGUUAUAAUGACAUGAUAUUUCUGUGGAGGUUACACUGUGUGUGUGUGUCUGUGUGUGUGUGUGAGAGAGAGAGAGAGAGUGAUCGAUGGGAGAGCAGCAAUAUCUACCACACCUCAUCAGCUGAGUUAGACAAUGAAAACGCUUGUGUCUGCACAUUUACAUGGAUGGACAGUUUGUAAAAAUAAAUAAAUAAAUAAAUAGAUAGAUAGAUAGAUAGCAGAUGAUGGUUGCAUUACUGUACCUAAUUAUGAAAACACUAAGUUGUACUUUAUGUUGUUGUUCCUGUAAGUGAAAGUUUGGUUGGUGUGCAGCACCAGCGCUCUAUAUUUUCUCUGAGGCAUGUCGAUC